AAGGCGACGAUCAGUAGCCGACCUGAGAGGGUGAUCGGCCACAUUGGAACUGAGACACGGUCCAAACUCCUACGGGAGGCAGCAGUGGGGGAUAUUGCACAAUGGGGGAAACCCUGAUGCAGCAACGCCGCGUGAGGGAAGAAGGUUUUCGGAUUGUAAACCUCUGUCCUUGGUGAAGAAGGAAGUGACGGUAACCGAGGAGGAAGCCACGGCUAACUAC
RNAcentral lists this ribosomal RNA (220 nucleotides) under uncultured bacterium. Its description in RNAcentral is "partial 16S ribosomal RNA". It matches the Rfam family "Bacterial small subunit ribosomal RNA", at positions 270 to 504 of the family's 1533-position model. The record is from RNAcentral.